Non-coding RNA from Triticum urartu, 985 nucleotides. The record is from RefSeq and is a predicted model, not a curated record. Lineage: Eukaryota; Viridiplantae; Streptophyta; Magnoliopsida; Poales; Poaceae.
UGUACUUGGUUGAGUCCUACUUGCUUAUUGAGAUGAAUCGUUUACAAAGUUAUAGUGUUAUUUUCAGAAUUUGUAGUGACACUGUUACCUUCAGAAUUUGAGAUGAACCAUUUCCAGGGCGUAUAUGGAGAGCCUAGAAGCAGCAGGGGUCCACGGAGCAGCGGAUGCGGUCGAUGGAGUAGCAGGAGCAAGGAGCUCGAGAUGGUUCAGGAAGAGUGCCUACAGAGAUUACAGAACUGGAUAGAGGUGCCUUAUGAUAGUAUAGCUAAAGAACAACAGUUUGUCUCUUCAGAAGUUUGGGUGCCUCUGUUUUGCUACUUUUUAGUUCUCAUCAUUAAGGUCCAUGGACAUUGCUAGAAUUUUCACUUUAUUGCAGUGUCGUAUUUCCAGAUCUCAUGUUCCUCAAGGUGACAAGGCUUUGGAGCCAUGGUUUUCUUAGGUAGCUUUAUUAGGGCAUCGAACUAUUUGGUGCUACAAUUGUUGUAAAUGUCUAACUUUGUAAGAUAUUCAUCAUUGGUUCAUCAUAGUAUGCUUUCUUCUGUGCCUUGUUUCACAGGCUUGCUCUCACUGCUGCUCUAGACAGGGAACGUUGAUGACAACAUACAGGGCCUCUCAGUCUUUAACCCUGACUAUAAAAAUCCAUUGAUGGAAGCCGGGGAGGGCCGAGAUGAACAUCCGGCUCCUGGGUCUAAGCCAUCGAGAUGAUAGAGACGAUGUUUCCAUGUCAUCUACUCCAGCAGCCGGACAAGGCAUAUAAAAACCAUGGAUCCUUGCUCCCCAGGCCGCAAAAUGAUCGCAGUGAUAUCUACGACCUCCUCCUAGGUGUAUUAAUCUCAAUCUCAUGUUUGGUUUUCUUCCCUUUUCUCUUCUAAUGAUGUAAUUUCUUUUACUAAGAUAACACCAUGUUUGUUGUAAUGCCUUAUUUGAUGUAAGAUCCCUUUUCUACUUUGAAUGAAUUUACUGCAUAUAUUUCUUAUUUAGUUUA